This 451-nucleotide long non-coding RNA is filed under the name Equus asinus (donkey). RNAcentral describes it as "lncRNA (ENSEASG00005033087.1)". The record is from RNAcentral. Lineage: Eukaryota; Metazoa; Chordata; Mammalia; Perissodactyla; Equidae.
UAAUUCAAUGAGGUAACAGAUGAGAAGCUCCCGGCUCAUUCUGUCUCUCCAAUGCCACUUUCCUUCCUCUUCCUCCUCCUGGCAUGCCCACUUUAGAGCUGACUCCAAAGCCAGUGAUGAAAUCAAAGCCUCACCACCGCCUCCAUGGUCCCAUCCCUCACCUUGCUUCAAGGCUACCAGCUGUCUCCACCCAGCUGGCACUGCUGAGGUUGGAUGAGCCAAACGACAACAACAACAACAACAAAGGCUUCAUGGAGUUAGAAGGAGGGUCCCCAGAGAAACAGACUGACAUCAUCAUUGCAGCACCGGGAACAGAAACUAAGAUUUCAUGACUACAAAGGAUAAUAUAGUGCCCUUUAGCCACAGAGACAGCAUCCUCACCAGCCCCAAUCAAAAAGUGCUUCUUGGGGAAGGAAAAUAAUCUUCUGGCUUGAAUAGAGAUAUCUGCAUU